This 528-nucleotide ribosomal RNA is filed under the name Enterovibrio norvegicus FF-454. RNAcentral's name for it is "bacterial SSU rRNA". It matches the Rfam family "Bacterial small subunit ribosomal RNA", at positions 468 to 995 of the family's 1533-position model. The record is from RNAcentral. Lineage: Bacteria; Pseudomonadati; Pseudomonadota; Gammaproteobacteria; Vibrionales; Vibrionaceae.
UUUGACGUUAGCUGCAGAAGAAGCACCGGCUAACUCCGUGCCAGCAGCCGCGGUAAUACGGAGGGUGCGAGCGUUAAUCGGAAUUACUGGGCGUAAAGCGCAUGCAGGCGGUUUGUUAAGCAAGAUGUGAAAGCCCCGGGCUCAACCUGGGAACCGCAUUUUGAACUGGCAGGCUAGAGUCUUGUAGAGGGGGGUAGAAUUUCAGGUGUAGCGGUGAAAUGCGUAGAGAUCUGAAGGAAUACCGGUGGCGAAGGCGGCCCCCUGGACAAAGACUGACGCUCAGAUGCGAAAGCGUGGGGAGCAAACAGGAUUAGAUACCCUGGUAGUCCACGCUGUAAACGAUGUCUACUUGGAGGUUGUGGCCUAGAGCCGUGGCUUCCGGAGCUAACGCGUUAAGUAGACCGCCUGGGGAGUACGGUCGCAAGAUUAAAACUCAAAUGAAUUGACGGGGGCCCGCACAAGCGGUGGAGCAUGUGGUUUAAUUCGAUGCAACGCGAAGAACCUUACCUACUCUUGACAUCCACAGAA